This 101-nucleotide small nucleolar RNA is filed under the name Erythranthe guttata (spotted monkey flower). RNAcentral's name for it is "Mimulus guttatus (spotted monkey flower) Small nucleolar RNA Z103". It matches the Rfam family "Small nucleolar RNA Z103". From Rfam's summary of the family: This family consists of several snoRNA Z103 sequences which are members of the C/D class of snoRNA which contain the C (UGAUGA) and D (CUGA) box motifs. This family seems to be found exclusively in plants. Lineage: Eukaryota; Viridiplantae; Streptophyta; Magnoliopsida; Lamiales; Phrymaceae. The record is from Rfam by way of RNAcentral.
AUGGAUAUGAGGACUAUUUCCCCAGAUGAUCGAAGUUGAUAUAACUGUGCUACUAAAAUCUCUCCUUUUAUGGAGAGAUUCAAGCCAAUAUUCUGAUCCUU